This 465-nucleotide ribosomal RNA is filed under the name uncultured bacterium. Its description in RNAcentral is "partial 16S ribosomal RNA". It matches the Rfam family "Bacterial small subunit ribosomal RNA", at positions 28 to 507 of the family's 1533-position model. The record is from RNAcentral.
GACGAACGCUGGCGGCGUGCUUAACACAUGCAAGUCGUACGGUAAGGCCCUUUCGGGGGUCCACGAGUGGCGAACGGGUGAGUAACACGUGAGUAACCUGCCCACAACUUUGGGAUAACGCUAGGAAACUGGUGCUAAUACUGGAUAUGUGCUCCUGCUGCAUGGUGGGGGUUGGAAAGCUCCGGCGGUUGUGGAUGGACUCGCGGCCUAUCAGCUUGUUGGUGGGGUAGUGGCCUACCAAGGCGGCGACGGGUAGCCGGCCUGAGAGGGUGACCGGCCACAUUGGGACUGAGAUACGGCCCAGCCUCCUACGGGAGGCAGCAGUGGGGAAUAUUGCACAAUGGGCGCAAGCCUGAUGCAGCAACGCCGCGUGCGGGAUGACGGCCUUCGGGUUGUAAACCGCUUUCAGCAGGGACGAAGCUUUUUGUGACGGUACCUGCAGAAGAAGCACCGGCUAACUACGUG